Molecule: long non-coding RNA, 1431 nt
Filed under: Homo sapiens (human)
Lineage: Eukaryota; Metazoa; Chordata; Mammalia; Primates; Hominidae
Description: HSALNT0390944
Source: RNAcentral
GUUUGGCGUUGCAGCUGUGUGGGCGCUGGUGCGUGCGAGUAGCGCUCGAAGAAACCCAAAGGCGUCGUGGGGCUGCCGUGUGCCCCAGAGAGCACUGCAGGCCGGGUAGGGGCUAAGGCUCCCCGCAGUCUUCUGUGUGUCGUCCAGUACGCAGUUGAAAUCGUUCUCCAACCUGGCCAGUCCUCCGAGGCCCUUCUCAGGCGACCAGACUCUGUUAACAGAGUCCAUUGCUAAAACUCCUCGUUAGUAUUUACCACUCCUCCAGUCUGUGUUUUGAAGCAGUGGUUUUCAACCACUGCCCGUUUUCAGAAGAAAUCAUCUCAAGCGUCCGUGUGCUGCUAGAAGCCGGGCCGGGAGGUCUUGGUGCCGGACUCCACCCUGCAGCCCUUCCCUUUCGCCACCGCCCUGUGCUUAGAGAAACCUUAGAGUGGAGCAAUGAGUCGCCCUUGACUGAGUAACUCUUCGGGGUCAACUUCUCCUUCCACGCCAAGGAAAGGAUUCCAGGGCGAUGUUUCUGGAAAUAGAGAUCUGACCAAGCCACUGCUCUGGUGAAAAUUCAGUGGGUCCCUAGCACCUAGUGCAGCGGCUCCUAGCCUGAGUAUUGCCGUCUUUCGGUGGGGAGGGGUUGGGUUUUUUUGUAGCAUCUGUUGAUCUGAUCUCCAACAUCCUCCACGUCAAUUCCCACUCCACCCACAUCCCUUAUCCUAUACGUAAGCUUUCCAGCCACGGUGCUGGCUUGGGUGGGGGUGCGUGCGGUGCUGACACCAAAAUGGAGGUCCCGUGUUUCUGAGAGUCUCUUUCAGAGCAAUGCAAACCUGAAACUACUCCUGCCAAGAAACGAUUGCAGCUCUUCCCGGAAAAGUUAAAGCCUUUGAGAAACAAAGCUGAGGUUGAAAGUAUUAGUCCAUUUUAUAGAUGAAGAAAUGGAGGCCCAGAGAGAUCACGUGACUUAGCCAAGUCCACCAACUAAUAUUGGGAAGCUCAGCAGGGUCCUGGGGGCCCACAGGAAUGUGAAUAAACACGCUUGGAAAGUCUGCAGAAUUUCCAGUCCUAGCCUCCUGCUGGUGUGAACCUGGGCUCCUGUGCCUGGGACCCUGGGAGGGCCUAGGGGAUGCCAAAUUCCAGGGUCCAGAAAGAGCUUGGGAUAAAAUGAACAUCCAAGGGGAGGGCUUUGACCUGGGCUGAGUCUGCCUGUGCCGAGUCUGCCUGUGCCAUCCAACUGGAGUCUCAAGUCCUGAGGCAGGACGUCCAGAUGCCCCAGUGCAGGGUCCUCCUGAUCAACACCUGCUCCCCUGUACUCAUUAGCAACCUCACCCACCCUACUCUCAAAGCACACUUGGCUCUCAUAUCCAGGAGCUCUGCAUCUGUAGAUUCAGCAACAGCAGAUGGAAAAUAUUCAGAAAAUAAAUUGGACAGUUAUAUUUCUAUUGA